Molecule: ribosomal RNA, 497 nt
Filed under: uncultured bacterium
Lineage: Bacteria
Description: partial 16S ribosomal RNA
Rfam family: Bacterial small subunit ribosomal RNA
Source: RNAcentral
GAUGAACGCUGGCGGCGUGCCUAAUACAUGCCAGUCGAGCGAACGGACGAGAAGCUUGCUUCUCUGAUGUUAGCGGCGGACGGGUGAGUAACACGUGGAUAACCUACCUAUAAGACUGGGAUAACUUCGGGAAACCGGAGCUAAUACCGGAUAAUAUUUUGAACCGCAUGGUUCAAAAGUGAAAGACGGUCUUGCUGUCACUUAUAGAUGGAUCCGCGCUGCAUUAGCUAGUUGGUAAGGUAACGGCUUACCAAGGCAACGAUGCAUAGCCGACCUGAGAGGGUGAUCGGCCACACUGGAACUGAGACACGGUCCAGACUCCUACGGGAGGCAGCAGUAGGGAAUCUUCCGCAAUGCGCGAAAGCCUGACGGAGCAACGCCGCGUGAGUGAUGAAGGUCUUCGGAUCGUAAAACUCUGUUAUUAGGGAAGAACAUAUGUGUAAGUAACUGUGCACAUCUUGACGGUACCUAAUCAGAAAGCCACGGCUAACUACGUG